This 596-nucleotide long non-coding RNA is filed under the name Ananas comosus (pineapple). Its description in RNAcentral is "long non-coding RNA (ACOM_LNC032906)". Lineage: Eukaryota; Viridiplantae; Streptophyta; Magnoliopsida; Poales; Bromeliaceae. The record is from RNAcentral.
UUUAAUUUUUUUCUAAAAAUUUAAAUUGUUUUCUCAACCAUCAUUCCACAGUCAUGAAACUAACAUUAUUUCAAUAUACUUUUUUUUUUAAAAUUGUCACUUAUAUUUAAAUAAAAUGAGAAAAUUAUCAUUUGUAAAUGCUAAAAGUAUGAGAUAAGUUGAAUGAUAGGAAUGACCAAGGGACCGUUUAGUUAAAUAUAAUUAUAAAUACAGUACAAUUAAAUGUGUAUAUAGUUAUUAACUAUAUAAUAAUAAAAUUAAAAUCAAGUUAGUAUCUUGUGAUUUCAUUUUUAUUUUUUCGUCAGUUUUUUUGUUAAUAUUUCGUUAAAUUAUAUACAAAAAAAUUUCAAAUACCUUAUCUAGGUUUAUCAAACACUCACUUUAGUAUGUUUUAGUUUUAACUUUGUCACUGAUUUAAUAAAAAAUAUUAGUAAAAUCGAUAAUAAAAGGAUAAAAAUAAAACGACGGGACACUAAAUUGAUACACUUUAAACCACAUGAUACUAAAAUAAGAAAGUGCGAAACCACAUGGGUAAUAUUUCAAAUUUUUUCUAAUUUUUAAAAUAGCGCAUAGCUCAGAUAAAUUUUAUAUAUUAU